This is an RNA transcript of Mus musculus (house mouse), 2872 nucleotides long. It is a transcript of the gene named component of oligomeric golgi complex 2, with no coding region annotated. Lineage: Eukaryota; Metazoa; Chordata; Mammalia; Rodentia; Muridae. The record is from RefSeq and is marked validated. The transcript has 18 exons.
UGUCGCUCGCUGCUGCCAUACUGGCGGAAGCGGAAGUGGAGCUGGGACGCUGGGGGUGGGCUGGGCUGCCGCGUCCCCUGCGGUCUUGGCCUUGAGGGGCGGCGGCCGGCGUGAUGGAGAAACGCAGGAUGAACCUGCCUACGGGGCCGGACACGCUGUGCUUCGAUAAGGACGAGUUCAUGAAGGAGGAUUUCGAUGUGGACCACUUUGUGUCUGACUGCAGGAAGCGGGUGCAGCUGGAGGAGCUGAGAGACGACCUGGAGCUGUAUUACAAGCUGCUGAAGACGGCCAUGGUGGAGCUCAUCAACAAGGACUACGCCGACUUUGUCAACCUCUCAACAAACCUGGUUGGCAUGGACAGAGCCCUCAACCAACUUUCUGUGCCUUUGGGACAGUUACGAGAAGAGGUUCUGAGUCUUAGGUCCUCUGUCAGUGAAGGAAUUCUGGCAGUAGAUGAACGAAUGUCUAAGCAAGAAGACAUUAGGAAGAAAAAGAUGAGUGUGUUGAGACUUAUACAAGUUAUUCGAUCGGUUGAGAAAAUUGAGAAAAUCUUAAACUCUCAAAGUUCUAAAGAUGUAUCUUCACAAGAAGCAAGCAGCCCACUCCUGACCGGACAGGUUUUGGAGAGAAUUGCCACAGAGUUUAACCAGCUUCAGUUUCAUGCUGUGCAGAGCAAGGGCAUGCCCCUUUUGGACAAAGUGAGACCUCGUAUAGCUGGCAUCACAGCCAUGUUGCAGCAGUCUCUGGAAGGCCUCCUGCUGGAAGGUUUGCAGACCUCAGAUGUGGACAUCGUCCGGCACUGCCUGCGCACCUAUGCCACCAUUGAUAAGACACAGGAUGCAGAAGCUCUGGUGGGCCAAGUCCUGGUGAAGCCAUAUGUCAAUGAGGUAAUCGUCGAGCAGUUCGUUGAGUCUCACCCCAGUAGCCUUCAGCUCAUGUACAACAAGCUUCUGGAAUUUGUCCCUCACCACUGCCGCCUUCUCCGGGAAGUCACAGGAGGAGCUGUGUCAAGUGAGAAAGGCACUAUCGUUCCUGGCUAUGAUUUCUUGGUGAAUUCUGUGUGGCCAGAAAUAGUUCGAGGCCUAGAGGAAAAGCUACCCUCGCUCUUCAACCCUGGGGACCCAGACGCCUUUCACCAGAAAUACACUGUGAGCAUGGACUUUGUGCAGAGGUUUGAGCGGCAGUGUGGAUCCCAGGCCAGCGUAAAGCGACUUCGAGCACACCCUGCCUAUCACAACUUCAGCAAUAAGUGGAACCUGCCUGUUUACUUUCAGAUAAGGUUCCGAGAAGUGGCAGGAUCCCUGGAAGCAGCCCUCACAGACGGGCUCGAGGACGCCCCAGCUGGAAGUCCGUAUUGCCUUUUGGCUUCUCACAGAACAUGGAUCAGCCUGGGCAAAUGCUGGUCCGAUGAGAUGUUCCUACCUUUGUUGGCACACCGUCUGUGGAGGCUCACGCUGCAGAUUCUGGCCAGAUUCUCUGUGUUUGUCAGUGAGCUUUCUGUCAGGCCCGUUUCUAAUGAGAGUGCCAAGGAGACUAAAAAGCCUUUGACUGGCAGCAAAGACCCUUCGGAAGACCAAGGAAGCCAUGCUUCAGAAGCAAGCGCCGCGUCCAUUUCUAGCACUCAGCUGGUGUAUGUGGUCUCAGACCUGGGCAGGCUGCAGGAAUGGCUUCCAGACCUCCUGGAGACGGUCAAGCAGAAACUCGAAAUGAUUGGCUUUAAGAAUUUUUCGUCUAUCUCAGCUCGCCCUAGCUGGACCAGUGACUCAUUCCACUGCCCUGUGUCACAGCGGCCCUGGAAGACUCCCAGAGUGCCUUGUCUGCCCAUGUGCCGGCUCUGAGCAGCAGGAUUGUCCAGGACCUGAGUGAGUCUUGCUUCAGUUAUCUCAAGAGUGCCCUGGAGGUCCCCAGGCUUUACCGCAGGACCAAUAAGGAGGUCCCCAGCACAGCCUCUUCAUAUGUAGACAGUGCACUGAAGCCACUGUACCAGCUUCAGAGUGGACAUGGGGACAAGGUGCAGCCAGCAGUGAUGCAGAGCUGGCUGCAGGAAGCUCUGUCGGACAGCACACACAGGUACUUUGAGACUGUGUCAGACGUGCUGAACUCAGUGAAGAAGAUGGAGGAAAGCCUGAAACGCCUCAAACAAGCCAGGAGAUCCCCAGCCACCAACCCUGUCAGCUCCAGCGGCGGUGGUAUGAGUGAUGACGACAAGAUCCGACUGCAGCUGGCCCUGGACGUGGAGCACCUGGGAGAACAGAUACAAAGGAUGGGCUUGCAGACCAGCGACAUCAAGAGCUUCCCAGCCCUCAUGGAGCUCGUCCUUGCUGCCAGGGACCAGGCGGCUGCAGAACAGCCCUAGGCAUCCUGGCAGGACCUGGAGUAGGGAAGAAAGCAACCCUUGUCCUCCGGGUCACCCAGCAACAGCCUGUACCUCCGCCCACUUAUAUGGGCCAUCUUUCACCAAGAAAGAACCAAAAGCCUUUCCAUUGUAUGGAAGAUAGUUUUUAAGACAUUCAAAGCUUUUUGCUCUAGUUUACAGAACAAAUUGUUUUAUUUUUAUUGUAAAUCUUAGUGUAGACCAGCUGAUGUCUACAAUAUGGUAAAAGUAAAUCGACAAGUGUGGCUGGUGGGCUGUCCUGGCCCUGCAGGGCAAGCACUGGGCAGGAUGCACCAAUGCAGAGUAGAACUUUGAUUGUCCCCAACCCUCCGACCUGGGAGAUACUGUCAGCCCUGGGCCUCCUUAGAGGCUACAAAGUGGCCCGUCCAUCUGGGCACAGAAGAGUAGCACUUCCAAUCUUGCCAAUCCGCACCUCUGUCAGAGCCAGAGCCGGCAGUAAAGAUUCAUUUCCUAAAUAAAAGAAGUACCUACUGCAAA